AGGCUUUGAUCCUGGCUCAGAUUGAACGCUGGCGGCAUGCUUUACACAUGCAAGUCGAACGGUAACAGGUCUUCGGAUGCUGACGAGUGGCGAACGGGUGAGUAAUGCAUCGGAACGUGCCCAGUCGUGGGGGAUAACGCAGCGAAAGCUGUGCUAAUACCUCAUACGAUCUGCGGAUGAAAGCGGGGGACCUUCGGGCCUCGCGCGAUUGGAGCGGCCGAUGUCAGAUUAGGUAGUUGGUGGGGUAAAGGCUCACCAAGCCAACGAUCUGUAGCUGGUCUGAGAGGACGACCAGCCACACUGGGACUGAGACACGGCCCAGACUCCUACGGGAGGCAGCAGUGGGGAAUUUUGGACAAUGGGCGCAAGCCUGAUCCAGCAAUGCCGCGUGCAGGAAGAAGGCCUUCGGGUUGUAAACUGCUUUUGUACGGAACGAAAAGCUCUGGGUUAAUACCCUGGGGUCAUGACGGUACCGUAAGAAUAAGCACCGGCGUACAUCGGU
Molecule: ribosomal RNA, 502 nt
Filed under: uncultured Hydrogenophaga sp.
Lineage: Bacteria; Pseudomonadati; Pseudomonadota; Betaproteobacteria; Burkholderiales; Comamonadaceae
Description: bacterial SSU rRNA
Rfam family: Bacterial small subunit ribosomal RNA
Source: RNAcentral